AUUGAACGCUGGCGGCCGGCCUAACCCAUGCAAGUCGAGCGAGCGGCGGACGGGUGAGUAAUGUCUGGGAAACUGCCUGAUGGAGGGGGAUAACUACUGGCAACGGUAGCUAAUACCGCAUCCCAUCAGAUGUGCCCAGAUGGAAUUAGCUAGUAGGUGGGGUAACGGCUCACCUAGGCGACGAUCCCUAGCUGGUCUGAGAGGAUGACCAGCCACACUGGAACUGCGACACGGUCCAGACUCCUACGGGAGGCAGCAGUGGGGAAUAUUGCACAAUGGGCGAAAGCCUGAUGCAGCCAUGCCGCGUGUAUGAAGAAGGCCUUCGGGUUGUAAAGUACUUUCAGCGGGGAGGCGUUACCCGCAGAAGAAGCACCGGCUAACUCCGUGCCAGCAGCCGCGGUAAUAC
Molecule: ribosomal RNA, 406 nt
Filed under: uncultured bacterium
Lineage: Bacteria
Description: partial 16S ribosomal RNA
Rfam family: Bacterial small subunit ribosomal RNA
Source: RNAcentral